Heterocephalus glaber (naked mole-rat) is the source of this 1868-nucleotide long non-coding RNA. RefSeq lists it as uncharacterized. The record is from RefSeq and is a predicted model, not a curated record. NCBI's taxonomy places the organism in Eukaryota, Metazoa, Chordata, Mammalia, Rodentia, Bathyergidae.
CAAUGACCUUGGCACAUGGAGGCCCUCACCUGCAGGGAGAGAGACUGGAGCCAAGGGACAGAAUGCGCUGGCCAACCAGAAAAAUGUCCGUGUAUCGUGGAAUCUUCCAUGGAGACUGGAUUCAAAGCGCGUGGGGAUCUGGGUGGGCUGCCUGGCAGAGAAAAGAACAAGCAGAGCUCCCAGUGCAGACAAGAGCAGCUGUGUGUAUCUGGUGCUGCCUUCACCUGGCUGCCACCCCAGCAUCCUCAACCGCAGAUGCCUGCCGUGCUGUCUCCCAUGGAAGCUGCAGGACCAAGGCGUGGGGACCUUGAAUACAAGCAGCAGGGUGCAAAAACACCAGCUUCCUGGGGCAGAGUCACCCUGAAAACCUCUGCUGCCUGCAGUCCCUCUGAACAAGAUUUGCCCAAUACUAAGGGAAAUGAGAGGAAAAACACUGUCAAGACAAAAAGGAGCCCAUAAGGUCGAGGUCAAAGUCAAAGAGUCGAUUCCUCUGGGACAGCAUCCGAGAAAGACAGUUCUAUAGUCUGAACCACAUGAAACUCUGGUCCUGGCCGAGGCUGGUCUUGACCACAGAGUUUUCAGUUGGUCCUAAAAACAUUUACAGCAACUCUGCUUCCCAAGGAAACGAACCUCCAAAGAGGGGCAGUCACCUGCCCCAGGUCAUGCAGCAAAUCAAAGGCAGACCUGUAGCUAGAAUACAGUCUCCUGCCUCCUGGCCCAGCGUCUUUAGAUCUUAGCAAAAGGUGACAGUUUGAAGCCACACUUUGAAGGAAAGAGAGGGAGUGCCCCAGUGAGGGGAGCCCUUCGAAAGCUGGGUAAGAGUUGCAGGCAGUCUUACUUUCUGGUACAGAGGCGUACGUUUCCUUCUCCCUCUGACCCUCUAGGCAAGGCCAAGUGCAGGCCACAAAGUGGCAGAUGCUGCUCAUGCCCCUCUUCCUGGGGUGGGCAGGGAGGCAGGGCAUGGCUGGGUUGGCACUGCCGCCUCUGCUCCAGUCGUUUGCAGAGAGUGGUGGCUGGAGAAGCACAUGAUGCAGCCGUGCAGAGAGGCUGAGAUAAGAAGGAAGAUUGAUCUUUCUGCUGCUUCAAAGAGAACAGAAGCCAUCCUGUCAUCGCUACUGAUCAAAGUCUCUGCAGAGGACGUGUUCUGUGCCUGCCCAGCCCACUGCAGCCCAGGAGAUGGGAGUCCCGCUCCUUGGGAUGCAGAGGUCUCCCUCCAAGCCCUGGUGCAUGUGAGAGACCCCCCCCCCCUUCCCACCAGGGUCUCUGCAGCUCAAAAGCUGAAUGUUCAACUCCAUCCCAGCCCUUGCCCAGGCAGCCCUGCCCAAGUUGAGGAUCUGGCCUGUGGGAUCAUGGUACAGAUGAGAAACUGAGGCAUAGAGAGGUGUCUUGGCCAGUGCCUCAUUGCCGAGACACAAUACCUGACACUCGCAACUUAGAAGAGAGGUCUAUUUUUGCUUACGUUUCCUAAAGAUCUCAGUCCAUGGUUGGCUGGCUCUGAGGCAGGAAGGCAUGGUGGGAGGGUCUGGCAGAGGAGAGCUGCUCACAUCAUGGUGGUCGGGAAGCAGAGAGAGAAGGGAGGAGCUGGAGAGGGAACUAAAUCCUUUCAGGUCACAUCCCCAGGGACCUGCCUCCCCUCACCAGGCCCCACAGGAAGUCAGCUAUAGCCCCCCCUUAUGGUUUAUAGCUACAUGUCCUCCUAAAGCCUCAUACAGUCAUAGUGGGGGCCUUUGGAAGGUGAUUGGACUAUGGGCCCUUAAACAUGUCACGCUUCAUCCACCCAGAUGUGACUUAUCCCUAUGUCAGCAUAAAGAUAUUUUGACAAUUUUUAAAUUUGUUUUUGUUUUUUGAGAUGGUCUCACUCUGCAGUU